UACGUAGGGUGCGAGCGUUGCCCGGAUUUAUUGGGCGUAAAGGGCGCGCAGGCGGCUACGCACGUCCGUUGUGAAAUCGCUCGGCUCAACUGGGCGGGGUCAGCGGAUACGGCGUAGCUGGAGCAAGCUAGGGGGCAAUGGAAUUCCCGGUGUAGUGGUGGAAUGCGUAGAUAUCGGGAGGAACACCAGUGGCGAAGGCGGUUGCCUGGAGCUUUGCUGACGCUGAGGCGCGAAAGCCAGGGGAGCAAACGGG
RNAcentral lists this ribosomal RNA (253 nucleotides) under uncultured bacterium. RNAcentral's name for it is "partial 16S ribosomal RNA". It matches the Rfam family "Bacterial small subunit ribosomal RNA", at positions 524 to 776 of the family's 1533-position model. The record is from RNAcentral.